UACGUAGGUGGCAAGCGUUGUCCGGAAUUACUGGGUGUAAAGGGUGCGCAGGCGGGAUUGCAAGUUGGAUGUGAAAUACCGGGGCUUAACCCCGGAGCUGCAUCCAAAACUGUAGUUCUUGAGUGGAGUAGAGGUAAGCGGAAUUCCGAGUGUAGCGGUGAAAUGCGUAGAUAUUCGGAGGAACACCAGUGGCGAAGGCGGCUUACUGGGCUCUAACUGACGCUGAGGCACGAAAGCAUGGGUAGCAAACAGGAUUAGAUACCCUGGUAGUCCGGGACGACU
This 282-nucleotide ribosomal RNA is filed under the name Ethanoligenens harbinense YUAN-3. Its description in RNAcentral is "partial 16S ribosomal RNA". It matches the Rfam family "Bacterial small subunit ribosomal RNA", at positions 524 to 805 of the family's 1533-position model. Lineage: Bacteria; Bacillati; Bacillota; Clostridia; Eubacteriales; Oscillospiraceae. The record is from RNAcentral.